This 814-nucleotide ribosomal RNA is filed under the name Cantharellus appalachiensis. RNAcentral's name for it is "eukaryotic LSU rRNA". It matches the Rfam family "Eukaryotic large subunit ribosomal RNA", at positions 91 to 913 of the family's 3401-position model. The record is from RNAcentral. Lineage: Eukaryota; Fungi; Basidiomycota; Agaricomycetes; Cantharellales; Hydnaceae.
GAGUGAAGAGGGAAGAGCUCAUCAUUGGAAUCUGGCAGCGUCUCGCUGUCCGAGUUGUAGAUGAGAAGAGUGGGCCAUCUGGACUGCAUGGUGUCCAAGUACAAUAGGCCGUCAGUGGGACAUCAUAGAGGGUGACAAUCCCGUCCUUGACACCAAUGUACGAGUCCUUUUACGAUGCCUAUCUCGGAGAGUCGAGCAGUUUGGGAUUUGCUGCUUAAACAUGGGAGGUAGAUUCCUUCCAAAGCUAAAUACAGGCAAGAGACCGAUAGAGAACAAGUACCGCAAGGGAAAGAUGAAAUAGAACUCUGUGAAGGGAGUCAAAAGACGUGAAAUUGUUGCGAGAGAAGCGAUUCAAGUCAGCGUAGCUGGGCCCAUCAAGCCUCGCGCUUUGGACCAGCUUUGCCAGCGGUCUUGUCCUAGAGACUCGACUAAGGUGCCCUGCCCGGUCUGACGGGCAGACCUUCCCCCCUGGGGGAGGCCAGCGGCACGGCUGGUGGAAUGGCUUGCAAUCGACCCGUCUUGAAACACGGACCAAGGAGUCUAACAUGCAUGCGAGUAUAAGGGUGGCAAACCCGUAUGCGCAAAGAAAGUGAUAGCCUUUACGGCUGUGAAUGACCUGAUGACCAGACAAGCGAUAUCAUGUCCCUCGUACGGUCAUUGCCCAAGUCCCGUGGUCAGAUCCCAUGGACAUGGAGUUGGAGCGUGCAUGCUAGGACCCGAAAGAUGGUGAACUAUGCCUGGACAAAGCGAAGCCAAAGGAAACUCUGGUGGAGGCUUGUAGCGAUUCUGACGUGCAAAUCGAUCGUCUGAUCUG